RNAcentral lists this ribosomal RNA (253 nucleotides) under uncultured bacterium. RNAcentral describes it as "partial 16S ribosomal RNA". It matches the Rfam family "Bacterial small subunit ribosomal RNA", at positions 524 to 776 of the family's 1533-position model. The record is from RNAcentral.
UACGUAGGGGGCAAGCGUUGUCCGGAUUUAUUGGGCGUAAAGAGCGUGUAGGCGGCGAGACAGGUCCGUUGUGAAAACUAGAGGCUUAACCUCUAGACGUCGAUGGAAACCGUCUGGCUAGAGUCCGGAAGAGGAGAAUGGAAUUCCUGGUGUAGCGGUGAAAUGCGCAGAUAUCAGGAAGAACACCCGUGGCUAAGGCGGUUCUCUAGUACGGUACUGACGCUGAGACGCGAAAGCGUGGGGAGCGAACAGG